Molecule: ribosomal RNA, 476 nt
Filed under: uncultured bacterium
Lineage: Bacteria
Description: bacterial SSU rRNA
Rfam family: Bacterial small subunit ribosomal RNA
Source: RNAcentral
GAUGAACGCUGGCGGCGUGCCUCAAACAUGCAAGGUCGAGCGGGGCUAUGUAAUAUCGCAAGGUAGAACAUAGCCUAGCGGCGAACGGGUGAGUAACACGUGGGUAACCUGCCUGGAAGACAGGGAUAACGAUUCGAAAGGGUCGCUAAUACCUGAUAAUAUCCUUUCAUCGCAUGGUGAUAGGAAGAAAGGGGAAACCCGCUUUCAGAUGGGCCCGCGUCCCAUCAGCUAGUUGGUAAGGUAAAGGCUUACCAAGGCGACGACGGGUAGCCGGUCUGAGAGGAUGUACGGCCACACUGGGACUGAGAUACGGCCCAGACUCCUACGGGAGGCAGCAGUUGGGAAUCUUAGGCAAUGGACGAAAGUCUGACCUAGCGACGCCGCGUGAGGGAAGAAGGCCUUCGGGUUGUAAACCUCUGUCAUGGGGGAAGAAGUAAGUGACGGUACCCCAAGAGGAAGCCCCUGCUAACUACGUG